This 331-nucleotide unclassified non-coding RNA is filed under the name soil metagenome. Its description in RNAcentral is "partial contains 5.8S ribosomal RNA, internal transcribed spacer 2, and large subunit ribosomal RNA". The stretch from base 1 to 120 matches the Rfam family "5.8S ribosomal RNA", at positions 35 to 154 of the family's 154-position model. The record is from RNAcentral.
GAUGAAGAACGCAGUGAAAUGCGAUAAGUAAUGUGAAUUGCAGAAUUCAGUGAAUCAUCGAAUCUUUGAACGCACAUUGCGCCCCCUGGUAUUCCGGGGGGCAUGCCUGUUCGAGCGUCAUUUCACCACUCAAGCCUCGCUUGGUAUUGGGCAACGCGGUCCGCCGCGUGCCUCAAAUCGACCGGCUGGGUCUUCUGUCCCCUAAGCGUUGUGGAAACUAUUCGCUAAAGGGUGUUCGGGAGGCUACGCCGUAAAACAACCCCAUUUCUAAGGUUGACCUCGGAUCAGGUAGGGAUACCCGCUGAACUUAAGCAUAUCAAUAAGCGGAAGA